RNAcentral lists this ribosomal RNA (433 nucleotides) under uncultured bacterium. Its description in RNAcentral is "partial 16S ribosomal RNA". It matches the Rfam family "Bacterial small subunit ribosomal RNA", at positions 29 to 507 of the family's 1533-position model. The record is from RNAcentral.
AACGAACGCUGGCGGCAUGCCUAACACAUGCAAGUCGAACGAGACCUUCGGGUCUAGUGUCGCACGGGUGCGUAACGCGUGGGAACCUUCCCUUAGGUUCGGAAUAACUCCCCGAAAGGGGUGCUAAUACCGGAUAAUGUCUUCGGACCAAAGAUUUAUCGCCCUUGGAUGUUCCCGAGUUGGAUUAGCUAGUUGGUAGGGUAAAAGCCUACCAAGGCGACGAUCCAUAGCUGGUCUGAGAGGAUGAUCAGCCACACUGGGACUGAGACACGGCCCAGACUCCUACGGGAGGCAGCAGUGGGGAAUAUUGGACAAUGGGCGAAAGGAUGAUCCAGCAAUGCCGCGUGAGUGAUGAAGGCCUUAGGGUUGUAAAGCUCUUUUAACCGGGAUGAUAAUGACAGUACCGGGAGAAUAAGCCCCGGCUAACUCCGUG